RNAcentral lists this ribosomal RNA (406 nucleotides) under uncultured bacterium. RNAcentral's name for it is "partial 16S ribosomal RNA". It matches the Rfam family "Bacterial small subunit ribosomal RNA", at positions 30 to 526 of the family's 1533-position model. The record is from RNAcentral.
AUUGAACGCUGGCGGCAGGCUUAACACAUGCAAGUAGAGCGAGAGGCGGACGGGUGAGUAAUGUCUGGGAAACUGCCUGAUGGAGGGGGAUAACUACUGGAAACGGUAGCUAAUACCGCAUACCAUCAGAUGUGCCAAGAUGGGAUUAGCUAGUAGGUGGGGUAAUGGCUCACCUAGGCGACGAUCCCUAGCUGGUCUGAGAGGAUGACCGUCCACACUGGACCUGGGACACGGUCCAGACUCCUACGGAAGGCAGCAGUGGGAAAUAUUGCACAAUGGGCGCAAGCCUGAUGCAGCCCUGCCGCGUGUGUGAAGAAGGCCUUCGGGUUGUAACGCACGUUCAGCGAGGAGGCGUUACUCACAGAAGAAGCACCGGCUAACUACGUGCCAGCAGCCGCGGUAAUUC